Molecule: long non-coding RNA, 453 nt
Organism: Acanthopagrus latus (yellowfin seabream)
Lineage: Eukaryota; Metazoa; Chordata; Actinopteri; Spariformes; Sparidae
Exons: 4
Source: RefSeq, a predicted model, not a curated record
GUUCGGGCUCCGGGGCGGGCUCAGGUGCCUUGUCGGCAGCCUUCUUGGCUGGGGACUUCUUGAUGGGGGCAGGUUUGCCUGGCAUCUUGCUGAUAGACGGCCAGUACUGUGGAUGAAGCGGUCAGGACGGGUCUUAGAGUGUAGCCUGCAGAGUGGGAUCCAGACAGCCCUCCCGCUCUGGAGACUCGAUGUAGUUGGCUGACUCCUGGAGCUUCAACAACAUGGCCAUCUGGGUAGCAGGAGGAGACAAAGAGGCAAUCAUAGACAGCCCAGUUUUUAAGCAAGAGGCCAUCUUUCAAGCAGUGACAUACCUCUGUACGGUAUGAUGGAGUGGUUCCACAGAUCGAUGAACCAUUGCCUGAACUCUGCCACUGAUACUGGGCAGGACAGGAAGAAGCAGGGACCUACAUGGAAGGCAAAGUUUCAGGUUAACAGAUUUCAUGCUGCGGACCA